CGUCCGUCCUUCACGGCGAAGAUACACGACUCCGGCAAGAUUAAUUAGUUAGAGCUUCUUCCCUGAGCGUGCGUGAGGUUGCUAUUCCCUCGUCAACCUUCUGGCUCUGCUCUCAAGAAAAUGCAAGCUCUGUUCGAAAAGUUAGAGCAUGGUGUUUAUAGUCUGUCGAGAAUGAAGGAAUCAGCUGCAACAAAGUUCAAGUGUUUCCAGAUUCCGGUUGAUUGGAUGCUUGAAACCGGCAUUACUAGUCAGCUAUUUGACUGCACUUUAACUGGAGUAGUGUGAUGAAUGAAGAAGAUAACAGAAACAACAGUAACAACAAUUCUCAUGGUCCCCAUUUUUGAUUCAUCGGCUCUUAACUGAGAUGAAAGGUAUUGUGAAAGAGAGCAGACGCUUAAUCAGCUCUUGACUGAGAUGGAUGGGUUUGAGGGUAACACUGCUGUUAUUGUGGUUGCUGCAAGUUUUUCAUCUUCCCAUUUGAUCAAGGUAUUGUCUUCUUCUCCCCUUCAUCUUCUUUCUCACCUUUUGAGAUAUGGUUCAUGAACAAGGCGUCUUUUGAGUUUAGAUCGAACAUCUGUGUAGACAUGUAAGGAAAUGAAUAUGAUUUGUGCGUUCUUUUGCUCUUUACUGUCAAUUUUAAUGUUUAGGGAAAGAACAUGGAUUCUCGGCUCUAAAUCUAUUAUGUGGAUUAGAUGCUAUGUAAGUUGUUCUAUGCAUUUUGUCUCUAUCAUGAAGCUUCAUCAUUAGGCCAUGUGUUUUCAGUGUUCUGUCUCUUUUCUAAAACAUGUGCGUGAGUGGGAAGGUCUGUUCUGUUUCUAUUUCAUUUGGUGUUCGUAUUUUCUGAGUUUGGUAUUGAUAGGUUAUUGUUGA
Raphanus sativus (radish) is the source of this 870-nucleotide long non-coding RNA. RefSeq lists it as uncharacterized. The transcript is spliced from 3 exons. Lineage: Eukaryota; Viridiplantae; Streptophyta; Magnoliopsida; Brassicales; Brassicaceae. The record is from RefSeq and is a predicted model, not a curated record.